UGCUUUACACAUGCAACUCGAACGGCAGCGCGGGGGCAACCCUGGCGGCGAGUGGCGAACGGGUGAGUAACGUAUCGGAACAUGUCCGGGAAUGGGGGAUAACGCAGCGAAAGUUGCGCUAAUACCGCAUAUGCCCCGAGGGGGAAAGGUGGGGAUCGCAAGACCUAUCGUUUUCGGAGUGGCCGAUAUCGGAUUAGCUAGUUGGUGGGGUAAAGGCCCACCAAGGCUGCGAUCCGUAGCUGGUCUGAGAGGACGACCAGCCACACUGGGACUGAGACACGGCCCAGACUCCUACGGGAGGCAGCAGUGGGGAAUUUUGGACAAUGGGGGCAACCCUGAUCCUUCCAUGCCGCGUGAGUGAAGAAGGCCUUCGGGUUGUAAAGCUC
This 386-nucleotide ribosomal RNA is filed under the name uncultured organism. RNAcentral describes it as "bacterial SSU rRNA". It matches the Rfam family "Bacterial small subunit ribosomal RNA", at positions 45 to 433 of the family's 1533-position model. The record is from RNAcentral.